ACAAACGGACAAGCAUUAAACCCGAGAGGUGAUGAGGAGGACGCCUAGCGUCCAUGAACUCAGUAAUCCCAGACUUCCAAGAAAAGUUCCGGCGGGAGUCCCUGUAGUGACCGUACCGCAAACCGACUCAGGUGGGCAGGGUGAAUAUCCUAAGGCGUUUGAGAGAAGCCUCUCUAAGGAACUCUGCAAAAUGACACCGUAGCUUCGGGAUAAGGUGUGCCGGCGGUAGGUGAAAACACUUCGCGUGUCUAGCCCAAGCCGGUUGCAGAGAAACGGGGGUAGCGACUGUUUACCAAAAACACAGCACUCUGCUAAGUCGCAAGACGAUGUAUAGGGUGUGAUGCCUGCCCGGUGCCGGAAGGUUAAGAGGAGAAGUCAGCCGCAAGGCGAAGCCUCGAAUCGAAGCCCCGGUAAACGGCGGCCGUAACAAUAACGGUCCUAAGGUAGCGAAAUUCCUUGUCGGGUAAGUUCCGACCUGCACGAAUGGCAUAACGACUUCCCCACUGUCUCGGAGAGGCCCUCAGCGAAGUAGCACUAGGGGUGAAGAUACCCUUUACCCGCGGCAGGACGGAAAGACCCCGUGAACCUUUACUGCAACUUGACACUGACUUUCGGGCUAGCUUGCGUAGGAUAGGUGGGAGGCGAUGAAGUCGGGACUCCGGUCUCGGUCGAGCCAACCUUGAAAUACCACCCUGGCUAGCCUAAAAUUCUAACCCGCGACCGUCAUCCGGUCGGGAGACAAUGUCUGGUGGGCAGUUUGACUGGGGCGGUCGCCUCCAAAAGAGUAACGGAGGCGCGCGAAGGUUCCCUCAGCCUGAUUGGAAACCAGGCGUAGAGUGUAAUGCCAUAAGGGAGCUUGACUGCGAGACAAACAAGUCGAGCAGGUGCGAAAGCAGGUCAUAGUGAUCCGGUGGUCCUGAAUGGAAAGGCCAUCGCUCAACGGAUAAAAGGUACUCCGGGAUAACAGGCUUAUCACGCCCAAGAGUUCACAUCGACGGCGUGGUUUGGCACCUCGAUGUCGGCUCAUCGCAUCCUGGGGCUGAAGUAGGUCCCAAGGGUUUGGCUGUUCGCCAACUAAAGCGGUACGCGAGCUGGGUUCAAAACGUCGUGAGACAGUUUGGUCCCUAUCCGCCGUGGGCGCAGGAGACUUGAGAGGAGCUGACCUUGGUACGAGAGGACCGGGUUGGACUGACCUCUAGUGUGCCGGUUAUCGCGCCAGCGGUAUCGCCGGGUAGCUACGUCGGGAAUGGAUAACCGCUGAAAGCAUCUAAGCGGGAAGCCAACCUCAAGAUUAGGUCUCCCAGGUCGCAAGACCCUAAAGGCCCCUUGUAGACCACAAGGUAAUAGGCUGGGUGUGGAAGCACAGCAAUGUGUGGAGCUUACCAGUACUAAUCGGCCGUGCGGCUUGACCAU
RNAcentral lists this ribosomal RNA (1413 nucleotides) under metagenome. Its description in RNAcentral is "bacterial LSU rRNA". It matches the Rfam family "Bacterial large subunit ribosomal RNA", at positions 1537 to 2925 of the family's 2925-position model. The record is from RNAcentral.